This 1417-nucleotide ribosomal RNA is filed under the name Pseudoroussoella elaeicola. Its description in RNAcentral is "partial small subunit ribosomal RNA". It matches the Rfam family "Eukaryotic small subunit ribosomal RNA", at positions 51 to 1121 of the family's 1831-position model. Lineage: Eukaryota; Fungi; Ascomycota; Dothideomycetes; Pleosporales; Thyridariaceae. The record is from RNAcentral.
CGGCAUGUCUAAGUAUAAGCAUUAUACCGUGAAACUGCGAAUGGCUCAUUAAAUCAGUUAUCGUUUAUUUGAUAGUACCUUACUACUUGGAUACCCGUGGUAAUUCUAGAGCUAAUACAUGCAAAAAACCCCAACUUCGGAAGGGGUGUAUUUAUUAGAUAAAAAACCAAUGCCCUUCGGGGCUCUUUGGUGAUUCAUGAUAACUUAACGGAUCGCAUGGCCUUGCGCCGGCGACGGUUCAUUCAAAUUUCUGCCCUAUCAACUUUCGAUGGUAAGGUAUUGGCUUACCAUGGUUUCAACGGGUAACGGAUUUUUAGGGAAAGAUCCCGGAGAGGGAGCCUGAGAAACGGCUACCACAUCCAAGGAAGGCAGCAGGCGCGCAAAUUACCCAAUCCCGACACGGGGAGGUAGUGACAAUAAAUACUGAUACAGGGCUCUUUUGGGUCUUGUAAUCGGAAUGAGUACAAUUUAAAUACCUUAACGAGGAACAAUUGGAGGGCAAGUCUGGUGGACAUUCAGCUCCCAUUCUGCUGACGCCAGAGAUAGCCGGGCGCUCCCCCUCCCAGCGAGGGGGGGCGUUACGCCGGCUAGUCGAUGUAUCCGCUACCGUGAUGGGGGGAUACCGGCAAGACAACCUGGAUCGGGGAAGGCUAAGGUGCAUUCGUGCGCUAUGCUAAUCCCGAGCAGAGCUUUCGUGGAGCGAUCCGCGAUCAUAGCCUGUGUAGAGCGCGCAAAGGUGUCGGUCGACUCACGCAGUCGGCUUAAGGGACGUGCCAUUCCCACCCGAAAGGGUGGCUGACAGCAGGAGCGCCCAUCACGCAAAUGCAUGUCAGGCUCCCCCCCCACCCGGGGGAGCAGAUCUGUAAGGCCAGCAGCCGCGGUAAUUCCAGCUCCAAUAGCGUAUAUUAAAGUUGUUGCAGUUAAAAAGCUCGUAGUUGAACCUUGGCCUGGCUGGCCGGUCCGCCUCACCGCGUGUACUGGUCCGGCCGGGCCUUUCCUUCUGGAGAACCGCAUGCCCUUCACUGGGUGUGUCGGGGAACCAGGACUUUUACUUUGAGAAAAUUAGAGUGUUCAAAGCAGGCCUUUGCUCGAAUACGUUAGCAUGGAAUAAUAGAAUAGGACGUGCGGUCCUAUUUUGUUGGUUUCUAGAACCGCCGUAAUGAUUAAUAGGGAUAGUCGGGGGCGUCAGUAUUCAAUUGUCAGAGGUGAAAUUCUUGGAUCUAUUGAAGACUAACUACUGCGAAAGCAUUCGCCAAGGAUGUUUUCAUUAAUCAGUGAACGAAAGUUAGGGGAUCGAAGACGAUCAGAUACCGUCGUAGUCUUAACCGUAAACUAUGCCGACUAGGGAUCGGGCGAUGUUUUUUUAUUGACUCGCUCGGCACCUUACGAGAAAUCAUAAGUUUUUGGUUCUGGGGGA